Non-coding RNA from Prunus avium (sweet cherry), 1075 nucleotides. NCBI's taxonomy places the organism in Eukaryota, Viridiplantae, Streptophyta, Magnoliopsida, Rosales, Rosaceae. The record is from RefSeq and is a predicted model, not a curated record.
AGCACGGAUUUCUCUUUGCAUGCGAGUUUCUGUUGCGAUUUUCAUCUCUAUUCCUUCAGGACAAUUGUUUCUGAGGUCGACAUCUACAACAUAUCCAAAUUCCAAGGCAAACGGAGAUUUCUAUCUACCUUAAAUCGUGUUCAAGGUACUCGGGUAUCAGCUGAUCCACAGGAGGGACCCUCAAAGGGUCAGAGCAGCUCGAACGCACAGUGAGUGGACUUUUGUUUUAUAAAUGGAUUUUAUGUUAUUAAAGUUUCAAUAUUUGAUCUUGAAGGAUUUAUCUAUGGCUAUUACUUUCUGAGCAGGAAUAAUGAAAUUAUAUAUAUAUGUUCUCGAUUAUAUGUUAUUAUAUUUAAAUGCAAAUGGCUUGGAAAGUAAGAAAUGAGGUAUUAACCAUAUUGAAUGAUUGGUUGAGGAAUAAAAUGGAAAUUUCCAGGAAGGGCAUGUAUUUUGUUUUUAAACCACUAUAGGUACCCAAAAAUGUUGCAUUCGGAUAAAUUGUUGCCUUCGAUUAUAAUGAUGUCCAAGGACAUCCCAGUUGCCUUUGGAUGAGUCAGUGUGUGUUUGACAAUUGCCCACAAGUUCGGGGACGCUCAAACAUUGUGGUGCUAGGAAUGUGGCUCGGGUGGACCAAGUGUCCUCUGAGUCUUGCGAGGAAUGCGGCUCGAGUAACUUUAUGCUACCGAGACCUACGAGGACGUGCCACAAAUUGUGACACGAGGAAUUGACGGAAAUUAUGGAAUUGACGGAUUUAUGAUGGGUUCACCUAGGUGGAAGGAAAUUGUUUCCCUUUAUUAAUCUAAGAUAUUUUGUUAAUGUUUCACUGAAUAUAUGCUCAGCUAUAUAUAUGAGGAUUUGCAUGCCUGAAUUUUAUACGGAUAUUGAACAUGGAUAUGAUUAAAUUUUCUAAAUGUUUUAACAGAGGGGUUAGUAUGUUGAUACCCUAUGUUCUAAAACUUUAUUUUUGUCCAUUCACGUUUUUCAAUGUUUUGCGCCCCCAGACAGUAGUCGUGUACGGGGACGUCACCACAGGGCCGUCACUUUCCUCUAUCCAUCUCCUCCGCUACGUAGGAGU